UACGAAGGGGACUAGCGUUGUUCGGAUUUACUGGGCGUAAAGCGCGCGUAGGCGGAUCGCUACGUCAGGGGUGAAAUCCCAGGGCUCAACCCUGGAACUGCCUUUGAUACUGACGGUCUGGAGAUCGGGAGAGGUUGGUGGAAUUCCGAGUGUAGAGGUGAAAUUCGUAGAUAUUCGGAGGAACACCAGAAGCGAAGGCGGCCAACGGGCCCGAUACUGACGCUGAGGCGCGAAAGCGUGGGGAGCAAACAGG
This 253-nucleotide ribosomal RNA is filed under the name uncultured bacterium. RNAcentral describes it as "partial 16S ribosomal RNA". It matches the Rfam family "Bacterial small subunit ribosomal RNA", at positions 524 to 776 of the family's 1533-position model. The record is from RNAcentral.